GACGAACGCUGGCGGCGUGCUUAAUACAUGCAAGUCGAGCGAGGUUACUGUUUCGGAUCCCUUCGGGGUGAAGAAGCUUUAACCUAGCGGCGGACGGGUGAGUAACGCGUGGGUAACCUACCCCAAAGUCCGGGAUAACAGCGGGAAACCGCUGCUAAUACCGGAUGUCUUUACCUUGGGGCAUCUUGAGGUAAAGAAAGGUAACGCUUUGGGAUGGGCCCGCGUCCCAUUAGCUAGUUGGUGAGGUAACGGCUCACCAAGGCGACGAUGGGUAGCCGGCCUGAGAGGGUGGACGGCCACACUGGGACUGAGACACGGCCCAGACUCCUACGGGAGGCAGCAGUAGGGAAUAUUGCGCAAUGGACGGAAGUCUGACGCAGCGACGCCGCGUGAGCGAUGAAGGUCUUCGGAUCGUAAAGCUCUGUCCUUGGGGAAGAAGGCGAAAGCUUGACGGUACCCAAGAAGAAAGCCCCGGCUAACUACGUG
Molecule: ribosomal RNA, 486 nt
Filed under: uncultured bacterium
Lineage: Bacteria
Description: bacterial SSU rRNA
Rfam family: Bacterial small subunit ribosomal RNA
Source: RNAcentral